ACUCCUACGGGAGGCAGCAGUGGGGAAUAUUGCACAAUGGGGGAAACCCUGAUGCAGCCAUGCCGCGUGUGUGAAGAAGGCCUUCGGGUUGUAAAGCACUUUCAGUAGGGAGGAAGGUAGUGUAGUUAAUAAGCUGGCGCAUUAUUUUGACGUUAGCGACAGAAGAAGCACCGGCUAACUCCGUGCCCAGCAGCCGCGGUAAUACGGAGGGUGCGANCGUUAAUCGGAAUUUACUGGGCGUAAAGCGCAUGCAGGUGGUUUGUUAAGUCAGAUGUGAAAGCCCGGGGCUCAACCUCGGAAUUGCAUUUGAAACUGGCGGCUAGAGUACUGUAGAGGGGGGUAGAAUUUCAGGUGUAGCGGUGAAAUGCGUAGAGAUCUGAAGGAAUACCGGUGGCGAAGGCGGCCCCCUGGACAGAUACUGACACUCAGAUGCGAAAGCGUGGGGAGCAAACAGGAUUAGAUACCCUGGUAGGUA
This 475-nucleotide ribosomal RNA is filed under the name uncultured bacterium. RNAcentral's name for it is "bacterial SSU rRNA". It matches the Rfam family "Bacterial small subunit ribosomal RNA", at positions 335 to 796 of the family's 1533-position model. The record is from RNAcentral.